GUCGAUGAAUUGUAAUGUGAAUGUAUGAAAUUGGUAUGUGAAAUUGUAUUGAAUUGUAAUGUGAAUGUAUGAGAUUGGUGUGAAUUGAAUUGUAUUUGCAGGUAUUGGAUUGUAUUUGCAUUUAUUUACAGGUGUGAUUGAAUAGUAAGGCUCUAAAUGAGCACCCAUAUAAAUAAAACAUUUUUUUUUUAUUGUAUUAUAUUUUAGCGACGAUUUAGCGACGAUAAGUU
This 230-nucleotide long non-coding RNA is filed under the name Zostera marina. RNAcentral describes it as "long non-coding RNA (ZMAR_LNC004434)". The record is from RNAcentral. Lineage: Eukaryota; Viridiplantae; Streptophyta; Magnoliopsida; Alismatales; Zosteraceae.